This 445-nucleotide ribosomal RNA is filed under the name uncultured bacterium. Its description in RNAcentral is "partial 16S ribosomal RNA". It matches the Rfam family "Bacterial small subunit ribosomal RNA", at positions 354 to 796 of the family's 1533-position model. The record is from RNAcentral.
GUGAGGAAUAUUGCGCAAUGGAGGCAACUCUGACGCAGCCAUGCCGCGUGCAGGAAGAAGGCGCUACGCGUUGUAAACUGCUUUUAACCGGGAAGAAACCCCAGGACGUGUCCUGGGUUGACGGUACCGGAGGAAUAAGCACCGGCUAACUUCGUGCCAGCAGCCGCGGUAAUACGAAGGGUGCAAGCGUUAUCCGGAUUCAUUGGGUUUAAAGGGUGCGUAGGCGGAGCGUUAAGUCAGUGGUGAAAUCCUGCAGCUUAACUGUAGACUUGCCAGUGAUACUGGCGCUCUUGAGUGCGCUUGAAGUGGGCGGAAUGUGCCGUGUAGCGGUGAAAUGCUUAGAUAUGGCACAGAACACCAAUUGCGAAGGCAGCUCACUAAGGCGAUACUGACGCUGAGGCACGAAAGCGUGGGGAUCGAACAGGAUUAGAUACCCGAGUAGUCC